CCUACGGGAGGCAGCAGUGAGGAAUAUUGGUCAAUGGACGAGAGUCUGAACCAGCCAAGUAGCGUGAAGGAUGACUGCCCUAUGGGUUGUAAACUUCUUUUAUAUGGGAAUAAAAUGUUCCACGUGUGGGAUUUUGUAUGUACCAUAUGAAUAAGGAUCGGCUAACUCCGUGCCAGCCGCCGCGGUAAUACGGAGGAUCCGAGCGUUAUCCGGAUUUAUUGGGUUUACAGGGCGCGUAUGUGGAUUGUUAAGUCAGUUGUGAAAGUUUGCGGAUCAACCGUAACAUUGCAGUUGAAACUGGCAGUCUUGAGUACAGUAGAGGUGGGCGGAAUUCGUGGUGUAGCGGUGAAAUGCUUAGAUAUCACGAAGAACUCCGAUUGCGAAGGAAGUUCACUGGACUGCAACUGACACUGAGGCUCGAAAGUGUGGGUAUCAAACAGGAUUAGAUACCCUUGUAGUC
RNAcentral lists this ribosomal RNA (460 nucleotides) under uncultured bacterium. RNAcentral's name for it is "partial 16S ribosomal RNA". It matches the Rfam family "Bacterial small subunit ribosomal RNA", at positions 338 to 795 of the family's 1533-position model. The record is from RNAcentral.